Molecule: ribosomal RNA, 894 nt
Filed under: uncultured bacterium
Lineage: Bacteria
Description: bacterial SSU rRNA
Rfam family: Bacterial small subunit ribosomal RNA
Source: RNAcentral
AGAGUUUGAUCAUGGCUCAGGACGAACGCUGGCGGCGUGCUUAACACAUGCAAGUCGAGCGGAAAGGCCACUUCGGUGGUACUCGAGCGGCGAACGGGUGAGUAACACGUGAGUAAUCUGCCCUUGGCUUUGGGAUAGCCACCGGAAACGGUGAUUAAUACCGGAUAUGACCACUUCUCGCAUGGGUUGUGGUGGAAAGUUUUUCGGCCAGGGAUGUGCUCGCGGCCUAUCAGCUUGAUGGUGAGGUAAUGGCUCACCAUGGCUUCGACGGGUAGCCGGCCUGAGAGGGUGACCGGUCACACUGGGACUGAGACACGGCCCAGACUCCUACGGGAGGCAGCAGUGGGGAAUAUUGGACAAUGGGCGGAAGCCUGAUCCAGCAACGCCGCGUGAGGGAUGACGGCCUUCGGGUUGUAAACCUCUUUCAGCAGGGACGAAGCGCAAGUGACGGUACCUGCAGAAGAAGCACCGGCCAACUACGUGCCAGCAGCCGCGGUAAUACGUAGGGUGCGAGCGUUGUCCGGAAUUAUUGGGCGUAAAGGGCUCGUAGGCGGUUUGUCGCGUCGGGAGUGAAAACCAGGUGCUUAACACCUGGCUUGCUUUCGAUACGGGCAGACUAGAGGUAUUCAGGGGAGAACGGAAUUCCUGGUGUAGCGGUGAAAUGCGCAGAUAUCAGGAGGAACACCGGUGGCGAAGGCGGUUCUCUGGGAAUGACCUGACGCUGAGGAGCGAAAGUGUGGGGAGCGAACAGGAUUAGAUACCCUGGUAGUCCACACCGUAAACGUUGGGCGCUAGGUGUGGGGUCCAUUCCACGGAUUCCGUGCCGCAGCAAACGCAUUAAGCGCCCCGCCUGGGGAGUACGGCCGCAAGGCUAAAACUCAAAUGAAUUGACGG